Molecule: non-coding RNA, 478 nt
Organism: Thalassophryne amazonica
Lineage: Eukaryota; Metazoa; Chordata; Actinopteri; Batrachoidiformes; Batrachoididae
Source: the annotation of a RefSeq genome assembly
CGGUUCACCAACAGAUGUAGAUGAAGGUCCAGAUGGUUCAGAGUCUCAGUGUUCUUCCUCUCUCUCCUCCCCUCUCACUGCAGACAUGAAACACUGGCUGACAAACAUCCUGAUUCUGACUCUCUGGCUCGAGUGUAAAGGAGAAGACAGAGUGAUCCAGCGCACAGCAGAUGUCAUUGCUGCUGAAGGACACCACGUCACACUUCAAUGUUCCUUUGAAACCAGUGACACAAAUAAUUAUUUGUUCUGGUACCAACAAGAACUAAAUGGUUCUCUAAAGUUUAUGCUGAAACGUUUCAGUUUUGGAGGAGGACAAAAUGCUGCAGAGUUCAACAAAGAGAGAUUUGAUGCUGAAGUCAAAAAGACAUCGGUUGAUCUGAAGAUCCAGAAGCUGCAGCUGCGAGACUCUGCUGUGUACUACUGUGCUCUGCAGCCCACAGUGACAGCAAGCAGCAAAAGAGAGGACAAAAACACUACA